CAGCUUUCAAAGCGCCGCCGCUGGACCUAUAUUGAGGGUGCCGGCUUGCCGGCUAUGGCGAUAAACGUGCUGUGAAAUAGGCAGAGCGGACCCGGGGGCGGUACCCGGCGCCUCCACCAUUUCAGCCGACCCUGAUUUGAUACAAAUUACCUGUUUUGAUAAAACUUACAGGCAGGUUACGGCGGCUGAGAGACUGGGGGCGAAAUAGGAUCGACGCAUGUAAUAAAGACAGUAUUUUUGCUCGGUAUGGUACCCGCCGUUAUCGGGCCAUGUAGUAGUUGCAAAUGACAACACUGCUCCGGUAGCUGCAGCAGCCUAACGGCAGCGAAAGCAACCGAUUUAAAGUCCAGUCCGCUUGAGCUCGGGUUGGCGGGGUUUGGAACGCACCUGGCAACAGAAGCGUUCCUCU
Molecule: transfer-messenger RNA, 409 nt
Filed under: Candidatus Puniceispirillum sp. TMED176
Lineage: Bacteria; Pseudomonadati; Pseudomonadota; Alphaproteobacteria; Puniceispirillales (SeqCode); Puniceispirillaceae (SeqCode)
Also listed under: 1 other name
Rfam family: Alphaproteobacteria transfer-messenger RNA
About the family: Bacterial tmRNA, also known as 10Sa RNA or SsrA, is named for its dual tRNA and mRNA-like properties. Its role is to liberate the mRNA from a stalled ribosome. To accomplish this part of the tmRNA is used as a reading frame that ends in a translation stop signal.
Source: RNAcentral